UUUCAUGAACAUCAAUAAAGCUUUAUAACAAUACAAUUCAUUAUCAUUGUUUGGAUUAAUAUUGUAAUAAUUACACACUUUUUACAUUAUGAAAAUAAGUCAUAAAUAGUGUAAAAAUAAUUCUGAAGAUCAACUUCUCACAAACUAGGAACCCUGAAAACAAAUUUAAAAAGCAAAUAAAAACAAACUGGAAACUGAACACAAUGCAAUUAUCUCCAAACCGCAAAUCAAAAAUCUUAUGCAUCUUUUGAUACAGUAAUGUCAGCUGGAGAAAUUACAAGGAAAUUAAAAUAAAAAUUGAACAGGGAGAAUUCAAUCUUUCAAUUAUUUACACUACUGAGAUAAACAGGUUUGUGCCAUAUUUACAGUGAUAAGACACAACACAUUCUUAGAAUAAUCAAUUGUAUGAGACUGGCCCACAAACAUUUAAAAAAAUAUGCAGUGUAAUGCUUGCCAAAAUAUUUUUUUUUGCAUAUUUCACUUAUUUUGUAUUUAUGUGAGUUUUUGGCAAUAUAAAAAUAGCUGCACAUAGAGAUGAACUUUAAAAUGUAAAAAAUACAAAUAAAAAUAUAAUAUUUUCUAAAGAAAAAUCAGAUACAUACAUCUUUUAAAAUGUUAUUAAGUUGAAUGAAACAUUUACAACAGUAUAAAGAAUAUUCACAUAAAUGUCAACAGUAUGUAAGACAUUCUUUUGUGAAUCCAAUUCGUUAAUAUUUCUGAGAUAGGUAAGAAUAUCAACUACAUUUUGAGAGAUGUUGGUACUUUCUUUGUUAAGUUGUUAAUAAAUCACACAUAACGGUUUAGGUUGAAAAAGUCUUCUUAUGCCCAAAAGGACGGUUCUUUCAAUAAGCAGCAUAGGCAAUUUUAUACAUUUAAAUAUUUUGAAAUGAAAAAAGUCAUUAAAGUGUUUAUUAGUACGGGGUUAGCAAAAACCAAACUCCACUAAAAAUUUAAGUUAGAGGAGUGUCUCUGCUGUGUCAAUUUUAUAUUGGCAACAAAUCUAGCCAAUAUAAAGAUAUCCCAAGAAAAAUGGGAAGAAGUAGGGACUGACAGUCCUCCUAGCCUAAAACAAUUUAGCAUAAUCAUAAUUGGUCAAGCUUGUUAAUUCCACUAGGGAUGUAUGAUUUUAAUAGCCAGAAUCACAUGUGAUUGUUCUUACUUAUUAUUUUUAGAAAGAUAAGAUAGGGUUCCUAAGGACUUAACUUCCAAGAGAUAGCAGGAGCUCUUGUUUUUACAAAUUAGAAAAUCCUAUUUUUUUGUAGUGUGAAAUAUUAAUAUAAUUUGAUUAUUAGGAAGUAAGAAAAAACAAGAUUUCAAAUAUUAGCAUCUGUAUGUUGCUUAUGAUCACUUAUUAGAAGAUGUUAAAACACCACCAAAGUAUAGCCCUACUCUGGGUAAGACAAUAUAUAGUGGGGAAAGAAAGGAUAACAAAUGAUGUUAACUUUUCAUGCUUCAAUAGUAACAUUAAAAAAAAAAACCCUUGGAAAUUAAGCACAUUUCCUAAGUGAGAAAAAUAUAACAUAUCAAAGACAAUUUUUCCAUUGGUACUGACAUGCUGAUUUGACAAUUUUCUAAACUAGCACAUAUGUCUAUAUAGAUAGAUAGUUAGACAAAGGACAUGUAGUAUAAACUAGUUGAUGUAUAUUCUAAUGUCCUCUAUAAAAUCACAUGAGAAAAAAAAAU
This 1683-nucleotide long non-coding RNA is filed under the name Homo sapiens (human). RNAcentral describes it as "HSALNT0076055". The record is from RNAcentral. Lineage: Eukaryota; Metazoa; Chordata; Mammalia; Primates; Hominidae.